RNAcentral lists this ribosomal RNA (245 nucleotides) under Aeromonas veronii. RNAcentral describes it as "partial 16S ribosomal RNA". It matches the Rfam family "Bacterial small subunit ribosomal RNA", at positions 1 to 240 of the family's 1533-position model. Lineage: Bacteria; Pseudomonadati; Pseudomonadota; Gammaproteobacteria; Aeromonadales; Aeromonadaceae. The record is from RNAcentral.
AAAUUGAAGAGUUUGAUCAUGGCUCAGAUUGAACGCUGGCGGCAGGCCUAACACAUGCAAGUCGAGCGGCAGCGGGAAAGUAGCUUGCUACUUUUGCCGGCGAGCGGCGGACGGGUGAGUAAUGCCUGGGGAUCUGCCCAGUCGAGGGGGAUAACUACUGGAAACGGUAGCUAAUACCGCAUACGCCCUACGGGGGAAAGCAGGGGACCUUCGGGCCUUGCGCGAUUGGAUGAACCCAGGUGGGA